This 47-nucleotide ribosomal RNA is filed under the name Juglans regia (Persian walnut). RNAcentral's name for it is "18S ribosomal RNA". It matches the Rfam family "Eukaryotic small subunit ribosomal RNA", at positions 1785 to 1831 of the family's 1831-position model. Lineage: Eukaryota; Viridiplantae; Streptophyta; Magnoliopsida; Fagales; Juglandaceae. The record is from RNAcentral.
AAAGUCGUAACAAGGUUUCCGUAGGUGAACCUGCGGAAGAAACAUUG